UAUAUUCUGUUUAUCUGUAGGUGUCUCCUCCUUUCUAUAGGCUUCCUGUUCAAUUCUAUCAACACAGCUCACUGAGUUAUAUUUAUUUUGUUAUUUCCUGAGCCUAACACAUGACUGAGUGGCUCAUAAAAUUAAAAUGAGCUCUUUCUUCCUGACUGAAUGUUUACACUUUUAUAGGGUGCUUUGCUUUAAGAAAAGCUCAUAUGGGUAAUUUUUAAAUUGCAAAAACAGGUGCUUAAGAGAUGAAUUAUUUAUUUUAUAGAAGGAGCUGUCUCUGAGUUAUUUUAGAGUAUGUGUUCAGCUAUGUGUUGGAAAUUAUUUGCUUAAAGAAAAUUCGAUAGAUAUACUUUCCAUGGCGGGUACUCGGUAAAUAUUUUGAUGAUGUCAGAAAACCAGCUGUGACAGUGUCAGGUAUUUAAUCUAAAGGUAAUAUUUGUUGAAUGAAUGAAUUCUUCUUCAAGGGCCAGACCUAUUUUCCCAGCAAUUUAUUAGAUGUCACUGUCUUGCUGUCCUGCAACCAAACCCAAACUUAUCACAUGUGAAGUUUGGUGAUCUUAGCACGUGAUCUUCUUUCUCUCCUGAACUCCGUCUCCUUCGGUGUGAGCAGCACGACGGUGAUGUCCAGGGAGACUGCGCAGUCUGUCGGACAUCCAUGCACAGAGGGAAGCUUCAGAAACAACAUCAUGACCCCAGGAGGAGGGCUCAGCAGUCUCUGUAUCUCUGUUGGUGACAAAAUGGGUCCAUCUGGCUGCUGAGCAUGGACCAGCAUGUGCUGAUUGAAAAUCCUAUGACAGUCUUCUGUUGGGAUGACCUCCUGUUCUGGGCCUUCUGCAAUUAGCCGAGCAGAACUGAGAUGUGCAAGAAAUGGAAAGAGAAUCAGAUGUUGAGUCAAAGCACUGUAAGGGAGCUAACAUUUUCUGAGUGCCUGCUCCAGGCAGGCACCAUGCUAUACACAACAGGAGAUCACGGUUUAUCCCUCUUCUCUGAUGAAGGAAGAACAUACAGGAUUUCCUCUGAUACGAGACAGACUCUGAGAAGGACCAGGGAGGAAGAAACAAGUUCAUUUUGGCUGGGGCAUUUAGAAAAGUUUCUUAGAGGUAAGAUUCAAAACUAG
This 1114-nucleotide long non-coding RNA is filed under the name Chinchilla lanigera (long-tailed chinchilla). RNAcentral's name for it is "lncRNA (ENSCLAG00000028578.1)". The record is from RNAcentral. Lineage: Eukaryota; Metazoa; Chordata; Mammalia; Rodentia; Chinchillidae.